CACUUCAUUUGUUCCACAGUCCCCAUGGUUAAGGCAUUGUCCAUAUUUUCGUACGAAUAACAAUCUUUUAAAACAACAGUAACAAAAUCAUCAUGAAUGUGUACAGCCAUUAACCAUGGCAAAAAGAAAUACACUUUAAUACCCUCAGUUCUCAUGCUGAUUUUAAAGAAACUGCUACACAAUCCACAAAAACAGUCAUCUGUAUGCAUUGUUACAAAACAUUUAAUGAAGUAUUAAAAGCAAGAUGCUACAUGACAAAUUCAAUUAAUACGGUAUUAGAAAAAAAACGUAGCCAGUUUGAACAAGAAAUACACUUUAAUACCCUCAGUUCUCAUGCUGAUUUUAAAGAAACUGCUAUACAAUCCACAAAACAGUCAUCUGUAUGCAUUGUUACAAAACAUUUAAUGAAAUAUUAAAAGGAAGAUGCUACAUGACAAAUUCAAUUAAUACGGUAUUAGAAAAAAAAAACGUAGCCAGUUUGAACAAGGUAAUAGUUAUGUAGAUAUGGUGUGUUACAAAAAGAAAUGUUUUAGGUGCACAAUGAUUUUCUAGAAGACAAACCUGUAAUGCUAUCUACUUUAUAUUCAAAAUAUUUGUCACAUUUAGACCAAAUAGGGAUUACAAACAAAACAAUCUUUGUUCGCGACACUAGCUGGUUAUUUAAUGUGUUAGAACUUAGUUUCGGCAAAACAAUGCCAGAAUAUACCCCAGACAAAACCAGAAAAGCUAGAAGAAUGUUGUACAACAGUUGGAAAGCAAGCCACACAUUUGCUUAUUACCAUGAUUACAGCAUAUUAAGCGUCACAAAUUUGACACAGGACAGUUCAUAGAAAGCCUCAUUACAUAAUUUAAAAUCAGCAUAUGUUUUCUAGAAGUUAAGGAAGAAAUUUCAACUGCUUUGUAGAAAAAAAAUGACGCGACGAAUAACAAGCUCGUAUUUGAAAGCUUAGUAUUCCAAUUCAGUACAUUUAAUCAAAAUAUGUUUUAUGUUAGAACUUCUAAAAAGUAUACACAAUUGUCAUUUAUAACGUACAGAAUACUUUGAUUUCACUUUUUAGGACGAAUUGAAGGAAACCAUCUGGUUUCAACAAAAAUGUCCAAAAAAGUGUCCAAAUAUGACUUCCAUUGUUGUCUUCAGAAAUAGGAUCAAACCGGGGUCAGCUUUCCGACUGCAAAAUAGAUAUAAAUAUGACAAGAUAUGCAUACAAUGCUAUACUCACAAAUACCAGGACGCUGUAUAUGAUUCCAAUAUCAAUCAUAAUAAAAAUAUGUUAUAGAUAAUGCAUAUUUAAGGUUUUUCUUGUCGUAAAACACACUGAAGGGUGUCAGGAUUGAUCAAAUGAAAGACCGACCGUAGAGAGGCAAUCCUGACACCACGAGGUGUGUUAUUUUUAGGAAUUGUGUCCUAUUUUACCAAUAUCAUUGAAGUGGGAUAUUCUUUUAGUAAACGUUUAGGUAUAAACACGCCCUACGGCUCAUUUUAAUGUGAAAUAAAACUCACUGAUGAAUCAUCUAGAUAUAAACGUUAGAAAUCACUGUCCAGUUACUAUAUAAAUGUUACAGUAAUUGCAUGAAGUAAGAAGCAAAUGGAUUUUAGGAUGAUGAAAAAUAUACAAGUCACUUUGUAAGUAAUUCAUCAUAUAAGCCACAUAAAGGGGGUGCUAUAUUUAAUUUUUUUCUCUUGUUUCACGACAUUUUUA
Mytilus californianus (California mussel) is the source of this 1700-nucleotide long non-coding RNA. RefSeq lists it as uncharacterized. NCBI's taxonomy places the organism in Eukaryota, Metazoa, Mollusca, Bivalvia, Mytilida, Mytilidae. The transcript has 3 exons. The record is from RefSeq and is a predicted model, not a curated record.